GCGGAUGUGGUGUACGGAACACUACUGUUAUGAUUGAAAAAGAAUGUUGCAACACAAACAGUAAACCGGGGUUCGACUCCCCGUGUCUGCA
This is a non-coding RNA of Mycena maculata, 91 nucleotides long. The record is from the annotation of a GenBank genome assembly. NCBI's taxonomy places the organism in Eukaryota, Fungi, Basidiomycota, Agaricomycetes, Agaricales, Mycenaceae.